GAGAAUAUAGCUCAAAUGGUAGAGCACAUGCUUAGCACGCAUGAGGUCCUGUGUUCAAUCCCCAGUACCUCCA
Molecule: transfer RNA, 73 nt
Filed under: Camelus bactrianus (Bactrian camel)
Lineage: Eukaryota; Metazoa; Chordata; Mammalia; Artiodactyla; Camelidae
Also listed under: 2 other names
Rfam family: tRNA
About the family: Transfer RNA (tRNA) molecules are approximately 80 nucleotides in length.
Source: Rfam by way of RNAcentral